UAAUUGGUGGAGUAUGUAGAACAUAUUAUUUUUCGUGUGUUUAUCACGCGUUCGGAGCAGUUUAAUAUUCGCCUCGUAUUUUGUGUAAAUAUUAAAUAUUGCUUGAUGCCAUGCAAUUCGCAGAAUAUGGAUUUUUCGAAGGAGUCGAUGGGAUCUCAAAAUAUGGACGUCGUUACUUUAUCUGGUGGCUGUUGCGUCUUUCCAAGCUUUACCCUCGAUUUAUCGCAUACGGGAGUUUUAAUUAUUAUAAAAACGUAAUAUAAUUUUAUUAAAUAUUCAUUUAUUUAUUUCCAGAAUCGGAGAAUACGGAUUUUUCUUUUAUCGAUGGGAUCUCAACAUGUGGACGUCAAUACUUGGUCUGGUGUUUGUUGCCUCUUUCCACGCUUUGUCCUCGAUGACCGUCUUCUGGAUUUCGAAUUUUGAAUUGGUAAAGCCACACAUGACAUCCAUUGAUAUGUAACCAAAAACGGUGAGGAUCAUUAACUGGUGGUUUUUUCGUAUAUGCUCUGGCGGGUCUUACUUUUUACGCAAUUAUCGUACACCCAUAUUUUCUGGAACGAUAUGUCCAAGGAAACUGUGCUUUGAUAUCUCUGGAGUGCUGAUCAAUUUCAUCUUGGGAUCAUUCUAAACCACUGGAUUUUUUUACGUUUUAAUCUACAAUAGACUCUUUGGACUUGGACAUUUGGCUUAAUUGGAAUCUAGCAACAUCACUUAAAAUUAAUAAAUAUAUUUCUCAUAUAAGAUAUUAUGUAUAUACAAUUUUUCAAUAAAACAGUACUAAACUAAUAA
Zeugodacus cucurbitae (melon fly) is the source of this 789-nucleotide long non-coding RNA. RefSeq lists it as uncharacterized. The record is from RefSeq and is a predicted model, not a curated record. The transcript is spliced from 2 exons. NCBI's taxonomy places the organism in Eukaryota, Metazoa, Arthropoda, Insecta, Diptera, Tephritidae.